This is a long non-coding RNA of Pundamilia nyererei, 176 nucleotides long. RefSeq lists it as uncharacterized. Lineage: Eukaryota; Metazoa; Chordata; Actinopteri; Cichliformes; Cichlidae. The record is from RefSeq and is a predicted model, not a curated record. The transcript is spliced from 3 exons.
GAAAACUCAGACUUGUCUGACUCUGACCCAGAGAUUGUUAUUAAAAGGCCCUCUGAGUUUGAUCUUGCUGAUACACUGCCAUGGGAACUUCAACAUGAAAGCAGUCCUUUACAGAAAGCGGCAGAAUAUGAGAAGGGUGCUGGGGAUCUUGUGCUUGCUAAUGAAGUACAACAGGU